RNA transcript from Piliocolobus tephrosceles (Ugandan red Colobus), 1764 nucleotides. It is a transcript of the gene named protein max pseudogene, with no coding region annotated. The record is from RefSeq and is a predicted model, not a curated record. The transcript has a single exon. Lineage: Eukaryota; Metazoa; Chordata; Mammalia; Primates; Cercopithecidae.
UGUGUGUGUGUGUGUGAGUGAGAGAGCGAGUGAGUGAGUGAGUGAGUGUGUGUGUGGGGGGGACUCGGCUUGUUGUUGUCGGUGACUUCCCCCUCCCCUUCACCCCUUCCCCUCCCCGCCGCCGCUGCAGUGGCCGCUCCCUGGGCUGUAGGAAAUGAGCGAUAACGAUGACAUCGAGGUGGAGAGCGACGCUGACAAACGGGCUCAUCAUAAUGCACUGGAACGAAAACGUAGGGACCACAUCAAAGACAGCUUUCACAGUUUGCGGGACUCAGUCCCAUCACUCCAAGGAGAGAAGUCCGUGCACUGGAGAAGGCGAGGUCAAGUGCCCAACUGCAGACCAACUACCCCUCCUCAGACAACAGCCUCUACACCAACGCCAAGGGCAGCACCAUCUCUGCCUUCGAUGGGGGCUCGGACUCCAGCUCGGAGUCUGAGCCUGAAGAGCCCCAAAGCAGGAAGAAGCUCCGGAUGGAGGCCAGCUAAGCCGCGCGGGGCAGGCCAGCAAUAAAAACUGUCUGUCUCCAUCGCCUCAUCCUCCUUUCAGUUCAUCGGUAGAACCCUCAGAAGCAUCUAAAAGACUCUGUUUUUCUCUUUCUCCCUUUUUCUUUUUUAAAUUUUUAUUUUUACGUAGAAGCUCUUGGACAACAGCUCUUGUUCUCCUUCCCCAUUUCCACUGUAUAUUUUUUUUAACGUAUUCCCUUCAGGGAUUCCCUGUCCCCACCAGGAAUUUUUAAACCAAAACACCCCAACUUGGCAGCUUUUUCUGUGGAGGACAGACGGCCAGCCAGACCUCUGAGCACAUAGUGUCCUGCCCACCCUACCAGCUCCUCCAGCCCUGCCGGGCACAUGCCCGGAGGACACCUGCCCUGCCUAGGCGGCCUCCUGGUCUGCCCUCACCUCUGAUAGACUUUGUGAAUCUGAACUGCUCUACUUUGAGAAGAUGACCGGUUUGGAGUAAUCAGAAUGAACCCUCCUCCUUUUUAAGGGUUUUUUUUUUUUUCCUUUUUCUAAAAAGCUAUGUAUUGCUCCUAUUGAAAGACCAGAUUCUUAAAGAAGUUUGUGGUAUAAAAAGAAAGUGGGGACAGAUUCGCAGCACAGAGUCCCUGGCAUGUUUCACUCCUGCUUCUCUCAGCCAGCUGUUUAAGCCUGCGGUGCCAGCCUCACGGAGGGCCGUGUGACACUCUUGUGGUAUGUAUGGGAGAUGGCAGCAGUGAAGCAGCAGCCACCAGGGAGUGGCCAUUUAAGGGUUGGGACAGGGAGGGUGUUUUGGGUGGCAUAGAGGUUUUGUAUUGAGGGCCAGUGAUGAUGUUUUGAUAUUUAUUUCCUGCUACUUAAAUUUGAAUUUGAGUGAAUUGUACCUAUUUCUGAUGAUGUCGGUCUUGCAAAGCGACAGAUUCAUAAAGUAAUGAUGAAAUCUUUCUUUCUUCCUGUGUGUAUUUCUAAGAAAUAGAGCCAACUGAUUUUGUAUGUAAAUACCAAGAGCAAUUUACCUGGUACUAAACCCGCACCCCAGUGCGGACCCUUCCCAGCCCUCACCCCACUUCCUUUCCUACUGUCCUGGAACCUGUCUCCAUUGCGUGAUCCAGCCCUGGUUCUGGCUGUGGUCAACAGAUCCCAGUGAAGGGUUUUGUGUGUUUAGGCCUCAUUUCUUUGUCUUUUUCCUACUCCGUUCCUGGCAUUUGCUGAUUUCUAGUGUAUACUCUGUAGUCUCUAUUCGUGUUUGAUUCCAUUCCAUGGAAAUAAAAAGUAUGUUGUACAUAC